UACAGAGGGUGCAAGCGUUAAUCGGAGUUAGUGGGCGUAAAGCGCGCGUAGGUGGUUUGUUAAGUUGGAUGUGAAAUCCCCGGGCUCAACCUGGGAACUGCAUCCAAAACUGGCAAGCUAGAGUAUGGUAGAGGGUGGUGGAAUUUCCUGUGUAGCGGUGAAAUGCGUAGAUAUAGGAAGGAACACCAGUGGCGAAGGCGACCACCUGGACUGAUACUGACACUGAGGUGCGAAAGCGUGGGGAGCAAACAGG
Molecule: ribosomal RNA, 253 nt
Filed under: uncultured bacterium
Lineage: Bacteria
Description: partial 16S ribosomal RNA
Rfam family: Bacterial small subunit ribosomal RNA
Source: RNAcentral